CAGCACCUCAAGUGGUCAGGAUGAUUAUUGGGCCUAAAGCAUCCGUAGCCGGCGCUGUAAGUUUUCGGUUAAAUCUGUACGCUCAACGUACAGGCUGCCGGGAAUACUGCAGCGCUAGGGAGUGGGAGAGGUAGACGGUACUCGGUAGGAAGGGGUAAAAUCCUUUGAUCUAUUGAUGACCACCUGUGGCAAAGGCGGUCUACCAGAACACGUCCGACGGUGAGGGAUGAAAGCUGGGGGAGCAAACCGGAUUAGAUACCCGAGUAGUCC
Molecule: ribosomal RNA, 270 nt
Filed under: uncultured archaeon
Lineage: Archaea
Description: partial 16S ribosomal RNA
Rfam family: Archaeal small subunit ribosomal RNA
Source: RNAcentral